GAGCCGUUAGCUCAGGAGGUAGAGCAUCUGACUUUUAAUCAGAGGGUCGGGGGUUCGAGUCCCCCACGGCUCA
This 73-nucleotide transfer RNA is filed under the name Candidatus Poribacteria bacterium. RNAcentral describes it as "tRNA-Lys". It matches the Rfam family "tRNA". Rfam says of the family: Transfer RNA (tRNA) molecules are approximately 80 nucleotides in length. RNAcentral also lists the same sequence under 1 other name. The record is from RNAcentral. Lineage: Bacteria; Candidatus Poribacteria.